Molecule: ribosomal RNA, 303 nt
Filed under: uncultured bacterium
Lineage: Bacteria
Description: partial 16S ribosomal RNA
Rfam family: Bacterial small subunit ribosomal RNA
Source: RNAcentral
AGCAGUCGCCGCGGGAAUACGGAGGGUGCAAGCGUUAAUCGGAAUUACUGGGCGUAAAGCGUACGUAGGCGGUUCGUUAAGUCUGUUGUGAAAGCCCCGGGCUCAACCUGGGAAUGGCAAUGGAUACUGGCGAGCUAGAGUGUGUCAGAGGAUGGUGGAAUUCCCGGUGUAGCGGUGAAAUGCGUAGAGAUCGGGAGGAACAUCAGUGGCGAAGGCGGCCAUCUGGGACAACACUGACGCUGAGGCACGAAAGCGUGGGGAGCAAACAGGAUUAGAUACCCGUGUAGUCCCUGUCUCUUAUAC